This 73-nucleotide transfer RNA is filed under the name Saitoella complicata NRRL Y-17804. It matches the Rfam family "tRNA". Rfam says of the family: Transfer RNA (tRNA) molecules are approximately 80 nucleotides in length. Their secondary structure includes four short double-helical elements and three loops (D, anti-codon, and T loops). The record is from Rfam by way of RNAcentral. Lineage: Eukaryota; Fungi; Ascomycota; Saitoellomycetes; Saitoellales; Saitoellaceae.
GGAUGUAUAGCUUAAUUGGUAGAGCCUCUUAUUGUCUCUAAGAUGAAUGUGAGUUCAAAUCUCACUAUGUCCG